RNAcentral lists this ribosomal RNA (465 nucleotides) under Vreelandella stevensii. Its description in RNAcentral is "partial 16S ribosomal RNA". It matches the Rfam family "Bacterial small subunit ribosomal RNA", at positions 338 to 795 of the family's 1533-position model. The record is from RNAcentral. Lineage: Bacteria; Pseudomonadati; Pseudomonadota; Gammaproteobacteria; Oceanospirillales; Halomonadaceae.
CCUACGGGUGGCUGCAGUGGGGAAUAUUGGACAAUGGGGGAAACCCUGAUCCAGCCAUGCCGCGUGUGUGAAGAAGGCCCUCGGGUUGUAAAGCACUUUCAGUGAGGAAGAACGCCUGGUGGUUAAUACCCAUCAGGAAAGACAUCACUCACAGAAGAAGCACCGGCUAACUCCGUGCCAGCAGCCGCGGUAAUACGGAGGGUGCGAGCGUUAAUCGGAAUUACUGGGCGUAAAGCGCGCGUAGGUGGCUUGAUAAGCCGGUUGUGAAAGCCCCGGGCUCAACCUGGGAACGGCAUCCGGAACUGUCAAGCUAGAGUGCAGGAGAGGAAGGUAGAAUUCCCGGUGUAGCGGUGAAAUGCGUAGAGAUCGGGAGGAAUACCAGUGGCGAAGGCGGCCUUCUGGACUGACACUGACACUGAGGUGCGAAAGCGUGGGUAGCAAACAGGAUUAGAUACCCCGGUAGUC